RNAcentral lists this long non-coding RNA (281 nucleotides) under Ananas comosus (pineapple). Its description in RNAcentral is "long non-coding RNA (ACOM_LNC014746)". The record is from RNAcentral. Lineage: Eukaryota; Viridiplantae; Streptophyta; Magnoliopsida; Poales; Bromeliaceae.
AACUAUUUAUUCCGUAUAGUUCCUAGCAAUAAAACAUCCGAAUUAACGAUUAACUCCAUUAAAUAUGAUUUAAACAAUUUAAAUUUUAUAGCUAGAAACCAAAAUUUACUAUUCUAGUCAAAUUCAUCUCAUAUCAGUCAUUAAAAGUUUUUUAAUUUUUGAAUCACUCGAAGGCUAGGUAAAUUAUACAACAAAUUGUGAAAUGUGAAAUUUGAAAGCUAAAAAGUUCAAAUACUCUAGUUCAUAUUUAACGUGUUUUUCUUUUUACCCUCUGGCUUGCA